GGCUCGGUGGUGUAGUUGGUUAUCACGUCAGUCUCACAUGGCAUUCUCAUGUGUGCUCACUGAAGGUCCCGAGUUCGAGCCUCGGCUGAGUCA
Kalmusia sp. IMI 367209 is the source of this 93-nucleotide non-coding RNA. The record is from the annotation of a GenBank genome assembly. NCBI's taxonomy places the organism in Eukaryota, Fungi, Ascomycota, Dothideomycetes, Pleosporales, Didymosphaeriaceae.